AAUACAAGAUUUUAGAGUAAAACUCGUAAUCCUCUCAGACACGAAACGACAACAUGUAAUAUUAGUUUCGUUCCAAAAAUAUCGAACUGACGAUUUUUAAGCUUCGGCUAAGAGUUUUACUAGUUCAGCAAUGAUACUUAGUGGAAUAGGCCACA
RNAcentral lists this small RNA (155 nucleotides) under Arabidopsis thaliana (thale cress). Its description in RNAcentral is "ATSL055300". The record is from RNAcentral. Lineage: Eukaryota; Viridiplantae; Streptophyta; Magnoliopsida; Brassicales; Brassicaceae.